GGGCGAUUAGCUCAGUUGGCUAGAGCGCCGCCCUUACAAGGCGGAUGUCGGGGGUUCGAGUCCCUCAUCGCCCACCU
This 77-nucleotide transfer RNA is filed under the name Planctomycetaceae bacterium. Its description in RNAcentral is "tRNA-Val". It matches the Rfam family "tRNA". Rfam says of the family: Transfer RNA (tRNA) molecules are approximately 80 nucleotides in length. Their secondary structure includes four short double-helical elements and three loops (D, anti-codon, and T loops). Further hydrogen bonds mediate the characteristic L-shaped molecular structure. tRNAs have two regions of fundamental functional importance: the anti-codon, which is responsible for specific mRNA codon recognition, and the 3' end, to which the tRNAs corresponding amino acid is attached (by aminoacyl-tRNA synthetases). tRNAs cope with the degeneracy of the genetic code in two manners: having more than one tRNA (with a specific anti-codon) for a particular amino acid; and 'wobble' base-pairing, i.e. permitting non-standard base-pairing at the 3rd anti-codon position. The record is from RNAcentral. Lineage: Bacteria; Pseudomonadati; Planctomycetota; Planctomycetia; Planctomycetales; Planctomycetaceae.